CGAGCUGUCAAACUUUUUCACUCGCGCGUGUUCGAUCAUGUCCGCGUAGUUGUUGGGUUCGGUGUCGAAUUUUCCGCAAUAAAUCGCGUGUGAAAGUUUAUUGGGCGCUUGCCCAAGCAUGUUUUGAUUUAGUUCCCGUCUUUUGUUGAAAAGCCCCGCCGGGGACCAAGCCGGAAUCAGUCCGAGACGAUUUUCUGCAACUUUGGGAAUAUUUCGACCAUUGAUCAUUUGAAGCUGUUGGCGCUCGAUUUGGCCGAGGAACGACACCAGCGACGAACUCCAACCACAGAGUAACCCUCUGCGCCUGCCUAUACUCAAACUCCUUUCUCCAUUCAUGUCGUUCAUCACCGGCCAAUUUCGUCACUGUUGGCAGUAUCCGUCACACCGUGCCCCGUGAAACCUGUAACCAGCAGAAUGAAUCUCUUCUACCCACACCAAUGCUGUUUCCGUAAGCGGUUCUCUUUGUGCGGACCAGUAUGUACAACAAAAUUGGACAUCCGUCUCCGGAUUCUGGUCAGACAGGAAGCAAGAAGAGGAACCUCAACCAGAGCUGACAAACGAUGUGCUCAUCGUUGAGAUCUUGGAAGACACGGAUGAGGUCGUCGAGUACAAGAAAAAUGUACUCGUCUAUGUACCAAAAGAUUAAUCCGGCCUUUUCCUUGAAGUCGGUGGCCCGCGGCAGGCUUGAAUCUCAUUUCUCGUUGGAGUUGAAUAGAAACCCACAUCGGAACACAAAAGCUACCAGAGUUUCCCGAGCUCAUCAUUCACAACGAGAAUUGAGAACGAACGUGAACUGGUCCCGGCUCCAGCAUUAAAGAUAGAUCUCCAAAGAAAAAAAAAGUCGCUGGAGUUGCAGUUUGGAGUGUUGGUAACGCAAAUAGAAUUAAAACAAAAGUGAAAUGUUAUCAAAGCGAAAUAAAAUUAAAAUACAUUCAAUGUUACUGUACCUACAACUCAUUGCACUGUUUGAAUAUAGUUUUUACAGUACGAUUUAAUAGGAAACAAACCAUAAUAAACUAUAAUUUUACUGUGAAAUUCA
This is a long non-coding RNA of Culex quinquefasciatus (southern house mosquito), 1039 nucleotides long. RefSeq lists it as uncharacterized. The record is from RefSeq and is a predicted model, not a curated record. The transcript is spliced from 5 exons. NCBI's taxonomy places the organism in Eukaryota, Metazoa, Arthropoda, Insecta, Diptera, Culicidae.